Long non-coding RNA from Mauremys reevesii (Reeves's turtle), 451 nucleotides. RefSeq lists it as uncharacterized. The record is from RefSeq and is a predicted model, not a curated record. The transcript has 3 exons. Lineage: Eukaryota; Metazoa; Chordata; Testudines; Geoemydidae.
UGUUCCUAGCUAUGCCCCAAGCACUUCAUCCAAUGCUUGCUGAGGUGGUUCUCCGCCGUGAAUCGAAUGCUAGCUGAGGGCUAAUGUAGUUUCUCACAGUAUCUCCAAGUUCCAGGGACAUGGAAGAGGCAAAGAAUGCUAAAUAACACAGCAGUGGCUCCCGUAACGCAGCAGAAUUCUCGUUGGCGCGUGCGGACCUGGCAGGAUUGCGCUGCCACGGGAGGAUCCAAACUUCCCUUGAGAUGCUGGGGGAAGGACUGCAAACUGGCUGCCUGGGAGAUGGUCUUGUGCCUUUGGGAAGGUAGAACUUCAUGUCUACACACCUUGUUUGGCGUUGAACAGUGGUGGCACAGUGUUACAGGCUACCUUGUUUGGAAGGGAAAAUAACAUUCUGAGGAAACCAAAUACAGAAACUAAUGGGAAGCAGGGGCUGUGCUCUGGUCCUUUCUGU